UAUUGUUAUAGACAUUUAAUAUUACGUGACAUAGUAAUUGGUAAAUAUAUUUUUAGGGGUGAUAGGCCUUUUAAAUUUAUUGAUAGCUUGAUACGUAAUAAAAUUAUUAAGUAUAAAGUCAUACUAUGAAAGUUAAGUUUUAUAGUAGUAAUUAAUUUAGGGAAAAUAAUAUAUUAUAGUUUAAUAGCUAAUUAAUAGUAAUAUAAAUAUUUUUUUCUUAAUUUUUGUUUAAUACAUUACGUUAUUUUUACUUGAGUAUAUAUUAAUAAUGUUAAUAUAAGUAAUAUUUAUAAAUAAAUUAAAGGAACUCGGCAACUACAUUUUUCAACUGUUUAUCAAAAACAUAACUAUAUGGUCUUGUAUAUAGCUGUUCCUGCUCAAUGAUUUUAAAUAGCCGCAGUACCCUGACUGUGCAAAGGUAGCAUAAUCAGUUGGCUUUUAAUUGGAGUCUAGAAUGAAUGGAUUUUUGGAAAAUAACUUUCUCUUUUUUAUUUUUAUGAAAUUAGUUUGUAAGUGAAAAUACUUACGUAUAUAUAAAGGACGAGAAGACCCUAGAAAUUUAAAUAUUAUUUUGUUGGGGCGACAGAAUUACAAAAAACUAAUUUGGUUUACGUGACGUUUUUACAGAUCGAUUAAAUUACUCUAGGGAUAACAGCAUAAUUUUUAUAGUUUGUGACCUCGAUGUUGGACUAGGAUAUUAAACGGUUUAGAAGAUCUUUAAUAAUGCUCUGUUCGAGCU
RNAcentral lists this ribosomal RNA (739 nucleotides) under Theba sp. 2 CG-2011. RNAcentral describes it as "partial 16S ribosomal RNA". The record is from RNAcentral. Lineage: Eukaryota; Metazoa; Mollusca; Gastropoda; Stylommatophora; Helicidae.